GAUGAACGCUAGCGACAGGCUUAACACAUGCAAGUCGAGGGGCAGCGCGGGGGUAGCAAUACCUCUGGCGGCGACCGGCGCACUGGUGAGUAACACGUAUGCGACCUGCCCCGGACAGGGGGAUAAACCCGGGAAACUGGGUCUAAUACCCCAUAUAUAUUUAGAUGGCAUCAGAAGAGUAUGAAAGAUUUAUCGGUAAGGGAUGGCGAUGCGUAGGAUUAGGUAGUCGGCGGGGUAACGGCCCACCGAGCCUACGAUCCUUAGGGGUUCUGAGAGGAAGGUCCCCCACAUUGGAACUGAGACACGGUCCAAACUCC
RNAcentral lists this ribosomal RNA (317 nucleotides) under uncultured Prevotella sp. Its description in RNAcentral is "bacterial SSU rRNA". It matches the Rfam family "Bacterial small subunit ribosomal RNA", at positions 28 to 339 of the family's 1533-position model. The record is from RNAcentral. Lineage: Bacteria; Pseudomonadati; Bacteroidota; Bacteroidia; Bacteroidales; Prevotellaceae.